GCGCUCAACGCAGUCGUGCCGUUGAAAUUGGGGGCUUGAGUCUAGAUGAAGUGGGCGGAAUUUGUAGUGUAGCGGUGAAAUGCUUAGAUAUUACAAGGAACUCCGAUUGCGCAGGCAGCUCACUAAGCUAUCACUGACGCUGAAGCACGAAAGCGUGGGUAUCAAACAGGAUUAGAUACCCUGGUAGUCCACGCAGUAAACGAUGAUCACUCGCUGUCUGCGAUAUACAGUAGGCGGCCAAGCGAAAGCGUUAAGUGAUCCACCUGGGGAGUACGCCGGCAACGGUGAAACUCAGAGGAAUUGACGGGGGCCCGUACAAGCGGAGGAACAUGUGGUUUAAUUCGAUGAUACGCGAGGAACCUUACCCGGGCUUGAAAUGUACCUGACCGUCCUUGAAAAGGGACUUCUAGCAAUAGCAGGUAUGUAGGUGCUGCAUGGUUGUCGUCAGCUCGUGCCGUGAGGUGUCGGCUUAAGUGCCAUAACGAGCGCAACCCACAUUAUUAGUUACUAACAGGUUAAGCUGAGGACUCUAAUAAGACUACCGUCGUAAGAUGCGAGGAAGGUGUGGAUGACGUCAAAUCAGCACGGCCCUUACGUCCGGGGCGACACACGUGUUACAAUGGGAGGUACAAAGGGCUGCUACCUGGUGACAGGAUGCUAAUCCCCAAAGCCUCUCCCAGUUCGGAUCGGAGUCUGCAACUCGACUCCGUGAAGCUGGAUUCGAUAUAAUCGCGCAUCAGCCAUGGCGCGG
Molecule: ribosomal RNA, 751 nt
Filed under: uncultured bacterium
Lineage: Bacteria
Description: bacterial SSU rRNA
Rfam family: Bacterial small subunit ribosomal RNA
Source: RNAcentral